Molecule: ribosomal RNA, 498 nt
Filed under: Nitzschia inconspicua
Lineage: Eukaryota; Bacillariophyta; Bacillariophyceae; Bacillariales; Bacillariaceae
Description: eukaryotic LSU rRNA
Rfam family: Eukaryotic large subunit ribosomal RNA
Source: RNAcentral
GUGAAUCUGUAUUCUACACUAAUGUAUACCGAAUUGUGGUCUGUAGACUUUGACGUUAACAUGCCGGGCCAAGUCCCUUGGAACAGGGCAGCAGAGAGGGUGAGACUCCCGUUCGCCUGGUGGUGUGAGUCAAAUGUCAACGAGUCGAGUUGUUUGGGAUUGCAGCUCUAAUUUGGUGGUAAAUUCCAUCUAAAGCUAAAUAUUGGUGGGAGACCGAUAGCGUACAAGUACCGUGAGGGAAAGAUGCAAAGAACUUUGAAAAGAGAGUUAAAGAGUACCUGAAAUUGCUGAAACGGAAGCGAAGGAAACCAGUGUCUGAUUGUACCAUACUUCCCUUGCCACUUGUGGUCUGGGCGCUGUGGUGCUUUCAUAGGUCUGCCUUGGUUGUGUCUCUCUGGAAGAGCGCCCACAGAGUUGAUGUGGGUUGCUAGCAUUGGACUUGACUGAGUGCAUACGAAAUGGUUUUCUUUACCCCGUCUUGAAACACGGACCAAGGAG